GUGCUUUGGCAGCACAUAUACUAAAACUGUAAUGAUACAGAGAAGAUUAGCUUGGCCCCUGUGCAAGGAUGACAUGAAAAUCUCUUGAGCUCAGAAGUUCCAGACUAUU
Non-coding RNA from Otolemur garnettii (small-eared galago), 109 nucleotides. Lineage: Eukaryota; Metazoa; Chordata; Mammalia; Primates; Galagidae. The record is from Rfam.